RNAcentral lists this transfer RNA (61 nucleotides) under Erinaceus europaeus (western European hedgehog). It matches the Rfam family "tRNA", at positions 1 to 60 of the family's 71-position model. Rfam says of the family: Transfer RNA (tRNA) molecules are approximately 80 nucleotides in length. Lineage: Eukaryota; Metazoa; Chordata; Mammalia; Eulipotyphla; Erinaceidae. The record is from Rfam by way of RNAcentral.
GGGUAGAUAGCUCAAUGGUAGGGCAUAGGACUUAUAUACCUAAGACCCAAGGUUCAAUCCC